UUAUGGGCAAGAGCACAAUGUUUCUUAACACUGUCCUGCUUCACCUUACAAGUAAGCAAACCCUAAAACAAAUCAGAACUUCAGGAACAGAACUCAGGGGAGCAACCGUUUCUAACAACUGCAGAAUCUCUGCUCUCUAGGAAGGAUUCUCGCAGCAGUUUCACCAGAGUGAUUGUUUAUAUGUGUAAGCCCUACGCCUUCAUCUUAGAUUCUCAGUACAAAAACUUUGGCCAGUCCUGCCCAACUCGGAUCGGGGAUGAAGUUCAUUCAGAGAUGCUUCUCACCAGGCUGGCUGGAGAGCCGUGAACCUUUUGGCCAAACUCUCUAAGUCCUUCUGCUAAAUUUUAGAAGGGCCACAAACCACAGGGUAUCGUAUGAUCACGGAUGUAGAUUAGGAAUGGAGGCCAUCAAGUCCAACCCCUCAUCGUACAAAUAAAGAAAUUGAGGACCAGAGAGGCUCAGGGGCUGGUGCAAGCCAGGAGAAGUCCACACCGACGAAUCACGACUCCGUCUAAAACUUCCCAGAAAUCUUGGAAGAUAGCCCUGAAAGGAAAAUACAUCCAGAAGUGAAAUGAGUUUCCUUGGGAGCAUAUCCAUGAGCUCCGAUUUCCAGCAUUACACUUUCAGAAUGCCUAACAUCGGGUUCCAGAAUCUGCCUCUCAACAUAUACAUUGUGGUUUUUGGCACUGCGAUUUUUGUCUUCAUACUUAGUUUACUCUUCUGUUGCUACUUAAUCAGGCUAAGACAUCAAGCCCACAAAGAAUUUUACGCCUACAAACAGGUUAUAUUAAAAGAAAAAGUAAAAGAGCUGAAUUUGCAUGAGAUCUGUGCUGUCUGUUUGGAAGAUUUCAAGCCCAAAGAUGAAUUGGGUAUCUGCCCGUGUAAGCACGCCUUCCACAGGAAGUGCCUCAUCAAGUGGCUGGAGGUCCGGAAAGUGUGCCCACUGUGCAACAUGCCGGUGCUGCAGCUGGCGCAGCUACACAGUAAGCAGGACCGCGGCCCCCCCCCGGGCCCCCUCCCUGGGGCCGAGAACAUAGUCUAGCCCGCCCCCAGGACGGACUCGGACACACGAUAUCGCAGAGAACCCCAGGCGGAGGGCCGCUCGCCCCUGAACCGGCCGCCCCCGCGCAGAUGCACCAGUGAUCCCCGGCCCUCCCAAAGAGCUGCUCCUUUGGGUCCCGAAGCCACCGGAAGCCUCGGCCGCCCGCCCACGUCCUGGCACGGAGGGCCCGCGGGUGGGGGGUCCCGUGUGCGGCCCCAGCCCCUGUGCCCACCCAGAGUUUGCCUUGGAUAAGCAAGUGGGUGAUGGUAAGUGUGGCAGGAGGGACUGUGGGCUGAGCCUCGGGGGCUGGACCCCUGGACCACCAGGUCAACCCCCCCCCAGAGACCAAGCGUGAAGCUCCCUGAGCCGCCAGAUGAGCCGGCCCGCUCCAGACCCGCUGGCAUCCUGAUCCUGGAUCCCCAAAUCCCGUGGUUCUGAUGAAAAGCCCGGAGCCGCUGUGGGCCGGAUUGGGCAAGGCCCAGGGGAGCGGUGACUGCGCCACAGCCCUCGGCACUGGAUUGUCACCGGUGGUCAGACAGUGAGGAGCCGGAGAAAGAGCAUGGGUGGUCAGCACUGCCCAGCCAGGCGGCGGCGGGUUCUCCCCGGGACUUCCUGCUGGCCCGAACUGAGUAACAGGACUUGGGGUGGGGCAGCCCCGAGACCCAAGGGCAGGAGGGAGCAUCCGGACCGGGUCGUCACCCUCCCCAAUGACUCAGUAAGCCCACAGUCACCAAGCCUCCGGGAGCUGGGCCGCCAGCGGAUAGACUAGUGGCCGUGCAGCCAGAUUGGACACCAGCGCCCCUGAAAGUCAGCCCCCCAAAAGAAGCACCUGCCUACCCGAUCCCAGGCUCAGCCCACAACUGUUCCUCCCGUCUGUCCUCCCCAAACCCCUUUGUCUGACCCCAGUUCUACCCAUCUCUUGUCCUUAUUAGAACAAACGGUUCUUGAGUUUCCAGUUAGCUCUGAGGCACUGCUCUGAAAACAUCCCACGGUCUGUAUUUUUAAAAAUAUUUGAACUUGUAAAUAUUGUAUUCAGCAGCCCAGGAUUAAGGAGCCCACGAUUGUGUGUUUAGUUUUGUACUUGGCUCUGGAAACAUUAGCAAAAAGCCUAUUUAUAGAAGCCAUAGAUGGCUUUGUCUCUUGCACUCACAGACUUUUGUAGAAAUGACCCAAAAGUAGCUGAUCUUUGGGGGGUACCAGAAUAUGUUGUAAAUUAGCUCUUAGAAAGAAGCGAUGGCCCUAGCGGCUCUUCCCCACGGCCCAGCCCGGCCCCUCACAUAACUUCGGCAAGGCCUCCGUGUCCGGGAAGGCUGCUCUGCCUGUAUCAUGUCCCACACCUGCUGGAACAUGGCGGGCCAAGACUGAACUAAAGCAAAAGAUUUCAUCCUCAAGUGCUUCCCGCUGGUGCCCCCCCCUCCCCACCAUCCACUAGAAAUCAGAAAGGGAUUCCACCGGUUAGGGGGCUAGAAAAGGAAAAUGGAAACUGCAGUUGUGGGGAGCCGGCGGACUCCUCCCCCGGUCUGAUCUGGGGGGUUCUGUAGGUCCUGUCCGGGUUCUCGAACAAGGGAGUGGAAGGGAAGGCUAUUUUUAUAGUAGAGCUAAAUUUAACCUGCUGGGCUCCAUGCUUCUUUUCUGAGCCAUUAAUGGAAAGGAUACCAGUUAUAAGUACUCCCGCCUCCCUUCUGACUUAUCUAUUCCUUUUCUGCAUCUCUGGCAGUCGUUAAGUGCCGGGAAACCAAUAGAUUUGCCUGAACUUUGGUAAAACAGGUUUACAGUAAAAUAUUUUUAGUGACCAAUGUCAAAAGAGAAUAUUGGGCUUGUCUCUGGAUCUGUACAGUUCAGUUACAUUGUUUACAGCCUAGGAUUUUCCAGGAACAUGGGACAGCUUUGGAAUAAGUGCCAUUUCUUCCAUAUGGGGCCACGAUCAAAACAGAAGUCAGAAAUCUGGGGACCGUGAAGCUUUUAGCUUGUGCUCCCGUCCCCUCCAACCCCAAUCUGUAGGACUACCCCCUUGGGGCCGUUGCUCUGCUUCUUUGAGUAGGGACCUCAGCAAGGGACUUUUUUUAAGGGCAAAACAUUUUAGUCCAAUAUCUCAAAUAUUCUUUCCAGCUGAAAGUCUGUUCAGACAUUGACUCUAUAAUUCCAACUUAGCUCCGUCGACCGAGGGCCAAAAUAACAAAAUCAAAAUGUCUUCUCAUUCACAGAUCGGAAAGGAGUCCAGUUGGGUACAAAUGUCCCAACAGACUCCACCUGGUGUCUGUACUGUUUGUUUACACUAAUUGUCUAAGCAGAAAGUCGGCACUGUCCCCACGAAUCCAUCCUGACAUUAGUCAAUAAGCAAAGUGGAUGAUGUUAAGCAAGCGAUUGAUCGGAAGAAAUCUUGCCUCUGCUUAGUCAUCCGCUCCUGUAAUGGAGUUUGAGGACCCAGUGCCAAAAGCCAGUCACUUCUCCCAGCCCCUUAAGCCUGGUGACUUGUGACCCUGACCUAGUGGAGAACGGAGGUAUCCAGCCCGUAGUCUGCGAUGGGAGAGACCCUCUGGGCCAAGCCAACGGUCCUUGCUCAAAGACCUCCCAGGGGCAUUCCCUGCUCGUUCCGGACCGGUCCUGAUAGAAAUACUAAGUGAUCGUGCGCUCCGGCCAGAACAAUACAGAACGUAGUUGUAGGUGUAGUUGCACGUUUGGCACCAGUAUUAAAUCCAAGAAGGAGAAAGAAGGAAUGAGAAAAGAAUCCCUUUGAUCCCUGAAUCAAGCUGAAAGCCCUGGAAGUCACUGGCCGCUCCCCAUCUCUUGGUGAAGAUCCAGGGGGAAGUUUAGGCCUUUGGGGACUUUUGCCUAUUUACCCAUCAAUGAUUUUUGUGUUUCUAACUGAAAUAUGAAGAAAGGAAGCUGAAAAAUUGGACUUCAUUGACCCGUCGCCAGCCACUCACUCGCCUUCUCCAGCUGCUGACCCGGAAUCUCUUGUACUCACUGGGACUCAGGGACAGGGCACAGGAACCCGCGGCCUUUGAUGCUGGGCCUGGGAGGCAGCCCGGGGCUUCCCGGCUUUCUUAGCUGCAGAACCUGUAGCAUUUUCCACUUCCUCAGAUGAGACCCGCCAGGAGGGAUUUAGGGACAGAAUAAACGAAAUGAAAGUGUAGGCAGCACCACCUCCUCUUGCCGGGUCAUGCUGGGCUCCCUGCCCUCCGAGGGCUUACGUUCUAAUCAUGGAGCCCACACCUGGAGCGUUCGGUCUGGAACAAGAGCCCACGUGUGUUUCCCUCGUGAGCCCCCCAGGCCGAGGACUAGCUGGCCUCCCCUGUCAGGUUAUUACCACCACGAUCAGACCGCUCCAUGACCUGCAGGGGUGGCCGGGGGUGGUCACUGUGCCAGCGGGCUCCCAGGGCUGCCCGUGAGGAGCGCCUGCCGCUGUCGGCCCUCAGCCUCCCCCCUCACCGCCCCAGCCCGGCCAUGGCUCUGAGCUCUCCGGGCUGGCUGACUGUGAGCCCUCUCUGGGAGGGGAGAUGGCUCCCCUUCCCAGCCACGGUCAGUCCAUCUGGAACCGCAGAAUCGCUCUUGAACCACAUUCCUUUCCAGCAAGACAGAUCCUCGGUUACGACAUAAUGGAAUUCCUUGUUUCUAGACAAACGGAACCUUCCACUCCCUCCCUCACCCUCGCCAUAAAAGCUGAGAUUUGACCUUUUAAGUGCCCAACCAACCAGAGAUGGGACGUGGACUCAUCAGGGCCCUCAUGUGGCCCGGGCCCAAGUCAGCCAAACCAUCCCCUUCCCCGACCGCCCUUGCUUUAGCCGGACCUUUUCCAUCCUUUCUCCUCAUCACCUCCUUAGAGAAGCUGGAGCCCGGGGGGCUUGGGGAGGAAGGGCCCCGUGGCUUGUGUCGGGCUGCCAGAGACGGGCGCUCCUUCCCUGAGGAGGGGCCGGCGCGGGGAGAGCCAAUUCCUCCUCCAGCCGGCGAGUGGGGAAGGCCCAGGCUCCUAGUGGCGGCUAAACCGGCUGUAAUUGUGGAGAUAGGAUUGGAAAGCGGAUCCCUUGACAGCACAUCUGGUGCACGGCCACUGGGCCGGCCGCCUCUGGCCACCCAGAGCCACAUGCAAAGUUCCCCUCCCCCAGCCCCCACCUCCUCGUCUUUUCUGAGUCCUGGCCCGGCCCUGGGCCAAAAGCACUUGAAUCCUGAGCCUUGAAGCUGAAACUUGAAAGGAAAGGCUCGGCAGAAGCACUUUUCAGAUCCUUUCAGACUUUAUUCCCUCCAUCCCUCCCUCUCUCAGACCCACAUCCUGAGUCACUAACCCUUUCCUUACCCAAACUGCAAACAAUCGUUGGGGAAAGGAGGGGUGUUGUGCAGGCUUUAUGCAAUGAACUUUGUCCCCGGUGGCUUUGGGGGAGAAUCAGUCGCUGCUUUUUUUUCAUAAACGACUCGGACGCUUACUCCCGGUUCAGAGUCUGUAAAAAUAUCUUGAAAACUACGUAUUUGGGAGUUGAGAUUUAGGAUCGAGGUUUGUUACAAGUCGUUCUCAUCAGCGUUAUUUGUCUCCCGUCUUCAUGGGUGAGUGGCCAAGAACCCUAACAUCGGAACCCCCAGAAGGAACCAAUUUCUCCUAGAACCGAACCCCUCAGACGUCCCUGGGACUUCUGACCGCCCCAGUCCUGGGGCUGCCCGGGGCCUGACGCCAGCCCUUCUAGCCUUUGGGCCUUUGGGCCCCCAAUCGGUGCCAUCCGGUUAGCUGGGCGCGGGGCUCGGCCUCCUGGUCAGUCCCGCCAGAGGCCCGGGCACUGCUGCCGGCGGCUCUCCCACCAUGCCCGCUGUUUCUCAUUUGCUGACCCUCGGGAUGGCUGGAACGCCCUUCUCCUUUAACAAUGAUUGAUCGCCAGGCAAGACAUCCAGUAUUAACGGGUGGAGAGACUGAAAGUCUCCCGUGAAAGAAUAAGGCAGCCCCGACCCCGGGAAGGGGAGCCCGGCCAGCCGCCGCUCCGGUGCCUCGGCGCGAGCUGGUCUCCCCACGGCGCGAGCUGGUCUCCACGCGGCGCUCGCCGCCCCUGGGUGAUCCAAGUCGAUAUCGUGUAACUCCUGCGAAAGUUUGUGAAACUCUGAGCCUCUGGUUUCAUAGACAUAUUUAUACACUAAGGAUUCUGCAGCAGAAUAUUUUUGAAAUCAUUCGCUGUUUUUGUAAGCUAUAUUUUUGUAUAUUUAAUUGCUAUUUUAAAAUUCUAAUGCAUCUUUUGCUAAUCACAUCCUUGUUUUGAAAAAAUAACGUUUGCAUGUGAUUGACUUGAAAUGUAAAUAAAAGCAGGUUUUGAAAAUACAUGUUGUCGGGAC
Molecule: long non-coding RNA, 6352 nt
Organism: Sarcophilus harrisii (Tasmanian devil)
Lineage: Eukaryota; Metazoa; Chordata; Mammalia; Dasyuromorphia; Dasyuridae
Source: Ensembl